This 489-nucleotide ribosomal RNA is filed under the name uncultured bacterium. RNAcentral's name for it is "partial 16S ribosomal RNA". It matches the Rfam family "Bacterial small subunit ribosomal RNA", at positions 28 to 507 of the family's 1533-position model. The record is from RNAcentral.
GACGAACGCUGGCGGCGUGCUUAACACAUGCAAGUCGAACGGAAAGGCCCCCAUCUUGGUGGGGGUGCUCGAGUGGCGAACGGGUGAGUAACACGUGGGUGAUCUGCCCUGUACUUCGGGAUAAGCUUGGGAAACUGGGUCUAAUACCGGAUAGGACCAUGGUUUAGUGUCUCAUGGUGGAAAGAUUAUUGUUUUGGUGCAGGAUGAGCUCGCGGCCUAUCAGCUUGUUGGUGGGGUAAUGGCCUACCAAGGCGUCGACGGGUAGCCGGCCUGAGAGGGUGGACGGCCACAUUGGGACUGAGAUACGGCCCAGACUCCUACGGGAGGCAGCAGUGGGGAAUAUUGCACAAUGGGCGCAAGCCUGAUGCAGCGACGCCGCGUGGGGGAUGACGGCCUUCGGGUUGUAAACUCCUUUCGUUAGGGACGAAGCCGCACUUUUUUGGGGUGUGGUGACGGUACCUUUGUGAAGAAGCACCGGCUAACUACGUG